CAAGACAACUUUACGGAGUUGACGAUUGACGGAGCGAAGCGACGUCAAAGCGUUCAUUAAAGUCGAGUUGGCUUAGGGAUACGUUCGUUGGGUAGGGGAGCGUUCUGUAAGCCUGUGAAGGUGUGUCGUGAGGCAUGCUGGAGGUAUCAGAAGUGCGAAUGCUGACAUAAGUAACGAUAAAGCGGGUGAAAAGCCCGCUCGCCGGAAGACCAAGGGUUCCUGUCCAACGUUAAUCGGGGCAGGGUGAGUCGACCCCUAAGGCGAGGCCGAAAGGCGUAGUCGAUGGGAAACGGGUUAAUAUUCCCGUACUUGGUGUUACUGCGAAGGGGGGACGGAGAAGGCUAUGUUGGCCGGGCGACGGUUGUCCCGGUUUAAGCGUGUAGGUGUGUGUUCCAGGUAAAUCCGGUUCACUUUAACACUGAGACGUGACGACGAGGCACUACGGUGCUGAAGCAACAAAUGCCCUGCUUCCAGGAAAAGCCUCUAAGCAUCAGGUAACACGAAAUCGUACCCCAAACCGACACAGGUGGUCAGGUAGAGAAUACCAAGGCGCUUGAGAGAACUCGGGUGAAGGAACUAGGCAAAAUGGUGCCGUAACUUCGGGAGAAGGCACGCUGACACGUAGGUGAAGUGAUUUACUCAUGGAGCUGAAGUCAGUCGAAGAUACCAGCUGGCUGCAACUGUUUAUUAAAAACACAGCACUGUGCAAACACGAAAGUGGACGUAUACGGUGUGACGCCUGCCCGGUGCCGGAAGGUUAAUUGAUGGGGUCAGCGUAAGCGAAGCUCCUGAUCGAAGCCCCGGUAAACGGCGGCCGUAACUAUAACGGUCCUAAGGUAGCGAAAUUCCUUGUCGGGUAAGUUCCGACCUGCACGAAUGGCGUAAUGAUGGCCAGGCUGUCUCCACCCGAGACUCAGUGAAAUUGAACUCGCUGUGAAGAUGCAGUGUACCCGCGGCAAGACGGAAAGACCCCGUGAACCUUUACUAUAGCUUGACACUGAACAUUGAGCCUUGAUGUGUAGGAUAGGUGGGAGGCUUUGAAGUGUGGACGCCAGUCUGCAUGGAGCCGACCUUGAAAUACCACCCUUUAAUGUUUGAUGUUCUAACGUGGACCCGUAAUCCGGGUUGCGGACAGUGUCUGGUGGGUAGUUUGACUGGGGCGGUCUCCUCCUAAAGAGUAACGGAGGAGCACGAAGGUUGGCUAAUCCUGGUCGGACAUCAGGAGGUUAGUGCAAUGGCAUAAGCCAGCUUGACUGCGAGCGUGACGGCGCGAGCAGGUGCGAAAGCAGGUCAUAGUGAUCCGGUGGUUCUGAAUGGAAGGGCCAUCGCUCAACGGAUAAAAGGUACUCCGGGGAUAACAGGCUGAUACCGCCCAAGAGUUCAUAUCGACGGCGGUGUUUGGCACCUCGAUGUCGGCUCAUCACAUCCUGGGGCUGAAGUAGGUCCCAAGGGUAUGGCUGUUCGCCAUUUAAAGUGGUACGCGAGCUGGGUUUAGAACGUCGUGAGACAGUUCGGUCCCUAUCUGCCGUGGGCGCUGGAGAACUGAGGGGGGCUGCUCCUAGUACGAGAGGACCGGAGUGGACGCAUCACUGGUGUUCGGGUUGUCAUGCCAAUGGCACUGCCCGGUAGCUAAAUGCGGAAGAGAUAAGUGCUGAAAGCAUCUAAGCACGAAACUUGCCCCGA
RNAcentral lists this ribosomal RNA (1683 nucleotides) under Salmonella enterica subsp. enterica serovar 4,[5],12:i:-. Its description in RNAcentral is "partial 23S ribosomal RNA". It matches the Rfam family "Bacterial large subunit ribosomal RNA", at positions 1163 to 2802 of the family's 2925-position model. The record is from RNAcentral. Lineage: Bacteria; Pseudomonadati; Pseudomonadota; Gammaproteobacteria; Enterobacterales; Enterobacteriaceae.